Molecule: long non-coding RNA, 226 nt
Organism: Thunnus maccoyii (southern bluefin tuna)
Lineage: Eukaryota; Metazoa; Chordata; Actinopteri; Scombriformes; Scombridae
Exons: 2
Source: RefSeq, a predicted model, not a curated record
GACAAGAUCACGUUGUUCUUUCCAAACCGCCUCCUGAGGGUGAAACAUGAACAUGGUCAGUUCUGGGAACAGGUUUUUAGGCGCCACUCUUGGACAUUUAUAAUAACAGUUAUGUGAACCACUUACCUAAGCAACUUGGCAAGCCCCACGCCCAGCUGUCCAAGUCCUCCUAGAAGGAUAAAAAUGGAAGAAUUGACUACCAUAAUGAUAGUGUUGUUUGAGUAGA